Non-coding RNA from Winogradskyella psychrotolerans RS-3, 95 nucleotides. The record is from Rfam. NCBI's taxonomy places the organism in Bacteria, Pseudomonadati, Bacteroidota, Flavobacteriia, Flavobacteriales, Flavobacteriaceae.
UGUAAACUUUAGGAGUAGCUAUUAAAUUAGUUUGAGAAACAUCCUUAGAACCUGAUUUGGUUAAUACCAACGUAGGAAAAAGUUAUGUUCGAUAA